RNAcentral lists this non-coding RNA (786 nucleotides) under Biston thibetaria. Lineage: Eukaryota; Metazoa; Arthropoda; Insecta; Lepidoptera; Geometridae. The record is from RNAcentral.
AUAGAUAAAUUUUAUAUGGUUUAAUUAAAUUUAUUUUGUAUUUAUUUUACAUAUAAAUUUUAGUAUGAGUAAUUCUUUAUUUUAAUAAUAUUAAUUAUGUUUGUAGUAAUUAAUAUUAAAUAUUUAGGAAAUUAAGAUUUAGUAAUAUAUAAAUUAUUAACAAAUUUUGUGCCAGCAGUUGCGGUUAUACAAAAAUUAAAUUAAAUUUUUUUAGUGAUUAAUAAUUAAUUUAAAAAUUUGUUUAAAUUAAAAUUAAAAUUAUUAGGUGAAAUUUUAAUUUUAUAUUAUUUUAUUUUUAUUAAUAUGAUUUAAUAAAUUUUAUUAAUAAACUAGGAUUAGAUACCCUAUUAUUAAAAAUUUAAAUUUAUAAUACUAAAAUAGUAUGUAAUUUUAUUGAAACUUAAAUAUUUUGGCGGUAUUUUAGUUUAUUUAGAGGAAUCUGUUUAUUAAUUGAUAUUCCACGAAUAAAUUUACUUAAUUUAUUAUUUUGUAUAUCGUUGUUAAAAAAAUAUUUUUUAAUAAUUUAUAUAAUAUUUUAAUAUUAAUAUUUAAAAUUAAAUCAAAUCAAGAUGCAGAUUAUAAUUAAGAAUAUAAUGGAUUACAAUAAAUUUAUUUAAAUGAAUUAUUAUUUUGUAAAAUUUAAUUGAAAGUGGAUUUAAAUGUAAUUUUGUUUAAUUUAAUAAAAUGAUUAAAAUUUAAAAUAUGUACAUAUUGCCCGUCGCUUUCAUAAAUAAAUUGGAAUAAGUCGUAACAAAGUAGAGGUACUGGAAAGUGUUUCUAGAAAGA